Molecule: ribosomal RNA, 614 nt
Filed under: Aplocheilus panchax (blue panchax)
Lineage: Eukaryota; Metazoa; Chordata; Actinopteri; Cyprinodontiformes; Aplocheilidae
Description: partial small subunit ribosomal RNA
Rfam family: Bacterial large subunit ribosomal RNA
Source: RNAcentral
CGCCUGUUUAUCAAAAACAUCGCCUCCUGUCAACCAAACAUAGGAGGUCCCGCCUGCCCUGUGACAUUAUGUUUAACGGCCGCGGUAUUCUAACCGUGCAAAGGUAGCGCAAUCACUUGUCUUUUAAAUGGAGACCUGUAUGAAUGGCAUAACGAGGGCUAAACUGUCUCCUUCUUCCAGUCAAUGAAAUUGAUCUCCCCGUGCAGAAGCGGGGAUAUGCCCAUAAGACGAGAAGACCCUAUGGAGCUUAAAACGAAAGAGCAGACCAUGUUAAUACACCUUAACUAAGAGACCAAACUAAUUGAAACCUGCUCUAGUGUUUUCGGUUGGGGCGACCACGGAGCACAAUAAAACCCCCGUGCGGAACAAAUGUACCACAUUUUAAAUCAAGAGCAACAGCUCUAAAUAACAGAACUUCUGACCCACAAGAUCCGGCUAGACCGAUCAACGAACCAAGUUACCCUAGGGAUAACAGCGCAAUCCCCUUCUAGAGCCCACAUCGACAAGGGGGUUUACGACCUCGAUGUUGGAUCAGGACAUCCUAAUGGUGUAGCCGCUAUUAAGGGUUCGUUUGUUCAACGAUUAAAGUCCUACGUGAUCUGAGUUCARACCGG